GCGUCGGAGGUGCAAAGGUCAAAAUGGUUGCCUUCCAAGCUGCCGAUCCGGGUUCGAUUACCGGCCGACGCA
Molecule: transfer RNA, 72 nt
Filed under: Dreissena polymorpha
Lineage: Eukaryota; Metazoa; Mollusca; Bivalvia; Myida; Dreissenidae
Rfam family: tRNA
About the family: Transfer RNA (tRNA) molecules are approximately 80 nucleotides in length. Their secondary structure includes four short double-helical elements and three loops (D, anti-codon, and T loops).
Source: Rfam by way of RNAcentral